This is a long non-coding RNA of Nematostella vectensis (starlet sea anemone), 142 nucleotides long. RefSeq lists it as uncharacterized. NCBI's taxonomy places the organism in Eukaryota, Metazoa, Cnidaria, Anthozoa, Actiniaria, Edwardsiidae. The record is from RefSeq and is a predicted model, not a curated record. The transcript has 2 exons.
CAGUGAACAGGUCUUAAAAACUCCUAAUUGUUUGAAAAAUACCUUACGCAAAGGAAAACCAUGUUGGAACAUUGAAUGCAAACAAGAGUAUCACGAGAAGCAAGAAUCACUAUGGCUCAACGCUAAAGUCAGUUUGCAGCCC